UACGGAGGGUGCGAGCGUUGUCCGGAAUCACUGGGCGUAAAGGGCGCGUAGGCGGCGCGGUAAGCGGGCGGUGAAAGCCCGGGGCUCAACCCCGGGUCGGCCGUGCGGACUGCCGCGCUGGAGCACUGUAGAGGCGGGUGGAAUUCCGGGUGUAGCGGUGGAAUGCGUAGAGAUCCGGAAGAACACCGGUGGCGAAGGCGGCCCGCUGGGCAGUGGCUGACGCUGAGGCGCGACAGCGUGGGGAGCGAACCGG
Molecule: ribosomal RNA, 253 nt
Filed under: uncultured bacterium
Lineage: Bacteria
Description: partial 16S ribosomal RNA
Rfam family: Bacterial small subunit ribosomal RNA
Source: RNAcentral